CCUACGGGUGGCAGCAGUGAGGAAUAUUGGUCAAUGGACGAGAGUCUGAACCAGCCAAGUAGCGUGAAGGAUGACUGCCCUAUGGGUUGUAAACUUCUUUUAUAUGGGAAUAAAAUUUUCCACGUGUGUUAUUUUGUAUGUACCAUAUGAAUAAGGAUCGGCUAACUCCGUGCCAGCAGCCGCGGUAAUACGGAGGAUCCGAGCGUUAUCCGGAUUUAUUGGGUUUAAAGGGAGCGUAGGUGGAUUGUUAAGUCAGUGGUGAAAGUUUGCGGCUCAACCGUGAAAUUGCCGUUGAAACUGGCAGUCUUGAGUAGAGUAGAGGUGGGCGGAAUGCGUGGUGUAGCGGUGAAAUGCUUAGAUAUCACGCAGAACUCCGAUUGCGAAGGCAGCUCACUAAACUGCAACUGACACUGAGGCUCGAAAGUGUGGGUAUCAAACAGGAUUAGAUACCCGGGUAGUC
Molecule: ribosomal RNA, 460 nt
Filed under: uncultured bacterium
Lineage: Bacteria
Description: partial 16S ribosomal RNA
Rfam family: Bacterial small subunit ribosomal RNA
Source: RNAcentral